This 905-nucleotide ribosomal RNA is filed under the name Microsphaeropsis hellebori. Its description in RNAcentral is "partial large subunit ribosomal RNA". It matches the Rfam family "Eukaryotic large subunit ribosomal RNA", at positions 38 to 961 of the family's 3401-position model. The record is from RNAcentral. Lineage: Eukaryota; Fungi; Ascomycota; Dothideomycetes; Pleosporales; Didymellaceae.
GCAUAUCAAUAAGCGGAGGAAAAGAAACCAACAGGGAUUGCCCUAGUAACGGCGAGUGAAGCGGCAACAGCUCAAAUUUGAAAUCUGGCGUCUUUGGCGUCCGAGUUGUAAUUUGCAGAGGGCGCUUUGGCAUUGGCAGCGGUCCAAGUUCCUUGGAACAGGACGUCACAGAGGGUGAGAAUCCCGUACGUGGUCGCUAGCCUUUACCGUGUAAAGCCCCUUCGACGAGUCGAGUUGUUUGGGAAUGCAGCUCUAAAUGGGAGGUAAAUUUCUUCUAAAGCUAAAUACUGGCCAGAGACCGAUAGCGCACAAGUAGAGUGAUCGAAAGAUGAAAAGCACUUUGGAAAGAGAGUUAAAAAGCACGUGAAAUUGUUGAAAGGGAAGCGCUUGCAGCCAGACUUGCCUGUAGUUGCUCAUCCGGGUUUUUACCCGGUGCACUCUUCUACGGGCAGGCCAGCAUCAGUUUGGGCGGUUGGAUAAAGGUCUCUGUCAUGUACCUCUCUUCGGGGAGAACUUAUAGGGGAGACGACAUGCAACCAGCCUGGACUGAGGUCCGCGCAUCUGCUAGGAUGCUGGCGUAAUGGCUGUAAGCGGCCCGUCUUGAAACACGGACCAAGGAGUCUAACAUCUAUGCGAGUGUUUGGGUGUCAAGCCCGAGCGCGUAAUGAAAGUGAACGGAGGUGGGAACCUUUCGGGGUGCACCAUCGACCGAUCCUGAUGUCUUCGGAUGGAUUUGAGUAAGAGCAUAGCUGUUGGGACCCGAAAGAUGGUGAACUAUGCUUGAAUAGGGUGAAGCCAGAGGAAACUCUGGUGGAGGCUCGCAGCGGUUCUGACGUGCAAAUCGAUCGUCAAAUUUGGGCAUAGGGGCGAAAGACUAAUCGAACUAUCUAGUAGCUGGUUCCUGC